Molecule: ribosomal RNA, 464 nt
Filed under: uncultured bacterium
Lineage: Bacteria
Description: partial 16S ribosomal RNA
Rfam family: Bacterial small subunit ribosomal RNA
Source: RNAcentral
CUACGGGAGGCACCAGUGGGGAAUAUUGGACAAUGGGGGAAACCCUGAUCCAGCAAUGCCGCGUGUGUGAAGAAGGCCUGCGGGUUGUAAAGCACUUUCGGUUGGGAGGACUGCUUCUAGCACUAAUAUUGUUGGAAGUUGACGUUACCUUCAGAAGAAGCACCGGCUAACUCCGUGCCAGCAGCCGCGGUAAUACGGAGGUGCAAGCGUUAAUCGGAAUUACUGGGCGUAAAGCGCGCGUAGGCGGCUAGAUCAGUCGGGUGUGAAAGCCCCGGGCUUAACCUGGGAACUGCACCCGAUACUGUCUAGCUCGAGUACAGGAGAGGAGAGUGGAAUUCCACAUGUAGCGGUGAAAUGCGUAGAUAUGUGGAGGGACACCAAUGGCGAAAGCAGCUCUCUGGCCUGAUACUGACGCUGAGGUGCGAAAGCGUGGGGAGCAAACAGGAUUAGAUACCCCUGUAGUC